Long non-coding RNA from Glycine soja, 1033 nucleotides. RefSeq lists it as uncharacterized. The record is from RefSeq and is a predicted model, not a curated record. The transcript has 3 exons. Lineage: Eukaryota; Viridiplantae; Streptophyta; Magnoliopsida; Fabales; Fabaceae.
UCUCUUCACACCCUAAAAAGAAACCAACCCUAUUCUCGUGAUCCCUCUCUCACUCUGGCGAUUCCUCUCAUUUUCUUCUCCCAUCCCAACCCUAGCGAUUCUUCUCUCGUUGUGGCACUUCCACUCUCACGUUCCUCGAUAUGUCUACCAAUUUUGCUUCGUGAGAAACAGAAAACUAUCCUAGGAGCCAUUGAUGGGAGUAGUAGCUGCAAGACACAAAGCAACCUUAUAGCCUUCAAAGUACGUUAUUCUCUACUUGCUUCUAGUCUCACUCUCACCAGUUUUCUCAAUGCAAUUCAACACCAUACAAGUUUAACUUGCCAUGGGCUUUGCAAUGACUUUCUUAACGGCUUCAGCAUAAGUCCUGUGCUGAUAAGUGAGAGUUGAUUCAAGCAGGUCCCAAAGUGAGGUUUUAGGAUUCCAGCCUGAUAAAGAAGUAACACUCCAUUAACAGGUAAAAAGGAGUUAUUUUGAAGAAGUGUUAAAGUUGAUGUCUCGCUAAGCGAGCUCAAUGCGUUUAGCGAGUGUCAUCCGCUAAGUGAGGCAUCAACACGCUUAGUGGAUAGGAGGAAUCUGGAAGGGAAUCUGUCACGCAGGCAUGUGCUCAGCGUGUCAUCAGCUCGCUCAGUGAGUCGUUUGUCACCUUUCAGGCUUAGCGCGAGUUUGGCGCUGAGCGAAAGUUCACUUACUCACGCUUAGCACGAGAAUGGCGCUAAGAGCGCCUUCGUGGACAAGAAGCCCUUUUUUAAGCUUGAUUUGCGGAGAAUGAAAGGAGAGGAAAAAUAGAGAGAAGGAAUAGCCGUCAGAGCUUAAAGAGUGAAAUAUACAGAGGCAAAGAACAAAGCAAGAAGCCAAGUUUUGAUCUUUUAGGAAGAUUUGUGAGUUUUUGAGUGAUUGUGAGAUUCCUAGAGGUGGAGGAGAUAUCCUCACUCCUUUUUAAGCAAGCAAUUUCUCCUAAUUCCUCUUCUUCACUAUAAAAAGAGCUUCCUUGCUAUGGAAGGCUAAACCCUCAGUUGGGGAUUCUUGUUGAGUA